GACGAACGCUGGCGGCGUGCCUAAUACAUGCAAGUCGAGCGAAGUUUUUCUGGUGCUUGCACCGGAAAAACUUAGCGGCGAACGGGUGAGUAACACGUAAAGAACCUGCCUCAUAGACUGGGACAACUAUUGGAAACGAUAGCUAAUACCGGAUAACAGCAUUAACUGCAUGGUUGAUGUUUAAAAGUUGGUUUUGCUAACACUAUGAGAUGGCUUUGCGGUGCAUUAGCUAGUUGGUGGGGUAAAGGCCUACCAAGGCGACGAUGCAUAGCCGACCUGAGAGGGUGAUCGGCCACACUGGGACUGAGACACGGCCCAGACUCCUACGGGAGGCAGCAGUAGGGAAUCUUCCGCAAUGGGCGAAAGCCUGACGGAGCAACGCCGCGUGAGUGAAGAAGGAUUUCGGUUCGUAAAGCUCUGUUGUUAGGGAAGAAUGAUUGUGUAGUAACUAUACACAGUAGAGACG
This 466-nucleotide ribosomal RNA is filed under the name Gemella haemolysans. RNAcentral describes it as "bacterial SSU rRNA". It matches the Rfam family "Bacterial small subunit ribosomal RNA", at positions 28 to 474 of the family's 1533-position model. The record is from RNAcentral. Lineage: Bacteria; Bacillati; Bacillota; Bacilli; Caryophanales; Gemellaceae.